GUGAAUCAUCGAAUUUUUGAACGCAUAUUGCACCAUCUGGUAUUCCGGAGAGUAUGCCUAUUUGAGGGUCAUUUGAAAUAAUAUAAAUUUCUAGAUUUUCGUGAAAUCAUAAAUGGGUCGGUCCAGCUUUCGGGUGUUGGUCGCCUAAAAUGCAAUACAAGCUCAUUUCUGGGGUGGCGUUUUUCUUUCAGUUACCUCGUGACCUCACAAGAAAUCUUCGAUCUUGUUAAGAAUUGUGCAAGAAAUAAACUGCAUUUAUCUCUAGCUCUAUAUUAAAUUG
Molecule: unclassified non-coding RNA, 280 nt
Filed under: Ambisporaceae sp.
Lineage: Eukaryota; Fungi; Glomeromycota; Glomeromycetes; Archaeosporales; Ambisporaceae
Description: partial contains 5.8S ribosomal RNA and internal transcribed spacer 2
Rfam family: 5.8S ribosomal RNA (bases 1-71)
Source: RNAcentral